UUCCGGUUGAUCCUGCCGGAGGCGACCGCUUUUGGAGUUCGAUUAAGCCAUGCGAGUAGAAAGAAAUUAGAUUCUUUGCGAACUGCUCAGUAACACGUGGAUAACCUGCCCUAUGCUCCGGAAUAACCUCGGGAAACUGAGAAUAAUACCGGAUAGAUCACAACGCCUGGAACGGUGUGUGGUUGAAAGAUUACGGCAUAGGAUGGGUCUGCGGCGUAUCAGGUUGUAGGGGGUGUAAAGGACCUCCUAGCCAUCGACGCGUACGGGUGUUGGGAGACAUAGCCCGGAGAUGGAUUCUGAGACACGAAUCCAGACCCUACGGGGUGCAGCAGGCGCGAAAACUUCACACUGCAGGAAACUGUGAUGAGGGGACUCCAAGUGCACGCACUUAGUGUGUGCUUUUUUCAACUAUUAAUCGGUUGAAGAAUAAGGGCUGGGAAAGACCGGUGCCAGCCGCCGCGGUAAUACCGGCAGCUCAAGUGGUCGUCGCUUUUAUUGGGCCUAAAACGUCCGUAGCCUGUUUGGUAAAUCUGUGGGUAAAUCAACCAGCUUAACUGGUUGAAUUCUGCAGAGACUGCCAGACUAGGGACCGGGAGAGGUGUGGGGUACUCUAGGGGUAGGGGUAAAAUCCUGUCAUCCUUAGAGGACCACCAGUUGCGAAGGCGCCACACUGGAACGGAUCCGACGGUCAGGGACGAAGCCUAGGGGCACGAACCGGAUUAGAUACCCGGGUAGUCCUAGGUGUAAACGCUGUGAACUUGGUGUCGGGGAUCCGUCAUGGGUCCCCGGUGCCGGAGUGAAGAUGUUAAGUUCACUGCCUGGGGAGUACGGUCGCAAGGCUGAAACUUAAAGGAAUUGGCGGGGGAGCACUGCAACGGGAGGAGCGUGCGGUUUAAUUGGAUCAACGCCGGA
Molecule: ribosomal RNA, 912 nt
Filed under: uncultured archaeon
Lineage: Archaea
Description: bacterial SSU rRNA
Rfam family: Archaeal small subunit ribosomal RNA
Source: RNAcentral